CUUACAAUUUUUAUAUACAUAGUGAGCUUCUAGUAAUCCCCUAGAAGGAGUCUCUAAUGUUAAUAUUUCCUCUAAAGGUUUCGGCAUAAUAUCUACUUUACAAGUAAGUGCACAAGAGAUAAAAGAAUGAGUAGCACCCAUAUCGAUCAAAGCCUUGGUAGAAGCAUUAUGAAUAGAAAUAACCUGGAUAAGAAUGGGAGUGGGGAGAGCAUCAGGUACAUCUAGGUGGUACACACGAUGCUAUACCACAGGUCUUGCCACGUCUUUUGGUCACUGAGGGCAGUUCUU
This 288-nucleotide long non-coding RNA is filed under the name Carica papaya (papaya). RNAcentral's name for it is "long non-coding RNA (CPAP_LNC015856)". The record is from RNAcentral. Lineage: Eukaryota; Viridiplantae; Streptophyta; Magnoliopsida; Brassicales; Caricaceae.